CAGCUUGUUGGUGAGGUAAUGGCUCACCAAGGCGACGACGGGUAGCCGGCCUGAGAGGGCGACCGGCCACACUGGGACUGAGACACGGCCCAGACUCCUACGGGAGGCAGCAGUGGGGAAUAUUGCACAAUGGGCGAAAGCCUGAUGCAGCGACGCCGCGUGAGGGAUGACGGCCUUCGGGUUGUAAACCUCUUUCAGCAGGGAAGAAGCGAAAGUGACGGUACCUGCAGAAGAAGCGCCGGCUAACUACGUGCCAGCAGCCGCGGUAAUACGUAGGGCGCAAGCGUUGUCCGGAAUUAUUGGGCGUAAAGAGCUCGUAGGCGGCUUGUCGCGUCGGUUGUGAAAGCCCGGGGCUUAACCCCGGGUCUGCAGUCGAUACGGGCAGGCUAGAGUUCGGUAGGGGAGAUCGGAAUUCCUGGUGUAGCGGUGAAAUGCGCAGAUAUCAGGAGGAACACCGGUGGCGAAGGCGGAUCUCUGGGCCGAUACUGACGCUGAGGAGCGAAAGCGUGGGGAGCGAACAGGAUUAGAUACCCUGGUAGUCCACGCCGUAAACGGUGGGCACUAAGUGUGGGCAACAUUCCACGUU
This 586-nucleotide ribosomal RNA is filed under the name uncultured Actinomycetes bacterium. Its description in RNAcentral is "bacterial SSU rRNA". It matches the Rfam family "Bacterial small subunit ribosomal RNA", at positions 242 to 838 of the family's 1533-position model. Lineage: Bacteria; Bacillati; Actinomycetota; Actinomycetes. The record is from RNAcentral.